This 68-nucleotide transfer RNA is filed under the name Oplurus grandidieri. RNAcentral describes it as "tRNA-Phe". It matches the Rfam family "tRNA". From Rfam's summary of the family: Transfer RNA (tRNA) molecules are approximately 80 nucleotides in length. Their secondary structure includes four short double-helical elements and three loops (D, anti-codon, and T loops). The record is from RNAcentral. Lineage: Eukaryota; Metazoa; Chordata; Lepidosauria; Squamata.
GUUAUUGUAGCUUAUUACACAAAGCACGGCACUGAAAAUGCCGAGAUGGAUUUUUAAUCCCAAAAACA